This 68-nucleotide transfer RNA is filed under the name Dipodomys ordii (Ord's kangaroo rat). It matches the Rfam family "tRNA". From Rfam's summary of the family: Transfer RNA (tRNA) molecules are approximately 80 nucleotides in length. Their secondary structure includes four short double-helical elements and three loops (D, anti-codon, and T loops). Lineage: Eukaryota; Metazoa; Chordata; Mammalia; Rodentia; Heteromyidae. The record is from Rfam by way of RNAcentral.
GGGACAGUGACUCAGUGGUAGAGUGCUUGCCUUGCAUGCAUGAGGCCCUGGGUUCAAUUCCUCUACCA